AGAUAGAUAGUCCUGUGGUUUUUGUUAUUUACACAGGUACACACACCACGGAUGCUCCAGCUGAGAGAGCGAGAGGGGGGAGUUAAUGAGAGAGAAAGGAAGAUGGAAAAUAAGAGCGGCUGUGAACGCAGUUGAGCUGCAAAUUUAUAGUUCCAUAGCUCACAGUUCGCUGAAUAAUGGAUCUGUGAACGCGACUGGCUUCAUCCUGGAGUCUCUCCUGGAAAGAUUACAGAGUUGUAAAUUGAAUGGUGCAAUGGACAAAAGACAGAGCGUGGCGGUUAUGAAGGAAGACAAGGACAAGGUGGAUAAGUCCCCAAAGUGCCAGCGUUCACCAACCACUGGCUCAGGGUGGGAUGAUGGCCAGCCUGCGGCUCAGACAGCGUCUUUGACUGAAGUCAGCAGCGCGUUGGAGCUGAUGUCCACCGCGGACGCG
Fundulus heteroclitus (mummichog) is the source of this 433-nucleotide long non-coding RNA. RefSeq lists it as uncharacterized. The transcript has 3 exons. Lineage: Eukaryota; Metazoa; Chordata; Actinopteri; Cyprinodontiformes; Fundulidae. The record is from RefSeq and is a predicted model, not a curated record.